AGAGUUUGAUCAUGGCUCAGAUUGAACGCUGGCGGCAGGCCUAACACAUGCAAGUCGAGCGGUAGAGAGAAGCUUGCUUCUCUUGAGAGCGGCGGACGGGUGAGUAAUGCCUAGGAAUCUGCCUGGUAGUGGGGGAUAACGUUCGGAAACGGACGCUAAUACCGCAUACGUCCUACGGGAGAAAGCAGGGGACCUUCGGGCCUUGCGCUAUCAGAUGAGCCUAGGUCGGAUUAGCUAGUUGGUGAGGUAAUGGCUCACCAAGGCGACGAUCCGUAACUGGUCUGAGAGGAUGAUCAGUCACACUGGAACUGAGACACGGUCCAGACUCCUACGGGAGGCAGCAGUGGGGAAUAUUGGACAAUGGGCGAAAGCCUGAUCCAGCCAUGCCGCGUGUGUGAAGAAGGUCUUCGGAUUGUAAAGCACUUUAAGUUGGGAGGAAGGGUUGUAGAUUAAUACUCUGCAAUUUUGACGUUACCGACAGAAUAAGCACCGGCUAACUCUGUGCCAGCAGCCGCGGUAAUACAGAGGGUGCAAGCGUUAAUCGGAAUUACUGGGCGUAAAGCGCGCGUAGGUGGUUUGUUAAGUUGGAUGUGAAAUCCCCGGGCUCAACCUGGGAACUGCAUUCAAAACUGACUGACUAGAGUAUGGUAGAGGGUGGUGGAAUUUCCUGUGUAGCGGUGAAAUGCGUAGAUAUAGGAAGGAACACCAGUGGCGAAGGCGACCACCUGGACUAAUACUGACACUGAGGUGCGAAAGC
Molecule: ribosomal RNA, 757 nt
Filed under: uncultured bacterium
Lineage: Bacteria
Description: bacterial SSU rRNA
Rfam family: Bacterial small subunit ribosomal RNA
Source: RNAcentral